GCCAGCAGUCGCGGUAACACAAGUAAGACGAGUGUUAUUCAUCUUUAUUAGGUUUAAAGGGUACCUAGACAGUAUAUUUAGCCAAUAAAGGGUACUAAUAUGCUAGAGUUUUAUGGGAGAGUGAAUGUAUGUGAGUAUUGUUAGAGUAGAGAUGAAAUCCGUUGAUACUAAUAAGACUGAUAAAGGUGAAAACUAAGCUCUAUGUUAAAACUGACGUUGAGGGACGAAGGCUCGGCAUCGCGAAUAGGAUUAGAUACCCUAGUAGUCCGAGCAGAAAAUUAUGAGUGCCAUAUAUUAAAAAGAAAAAAACAUUUAAUAUAGCUUUUAAACUAUAUUAAAUGUAUUUAUGUUGAAUAUAUAAAUGAAAGUGUAAGCAUUCCACCUCAAGAGUAAUGUGGCAACGCAGAAACUGAAAUCAUUAGACCGUUUCUGAAACCAGUAGUGAAGUAUGAUAUUUAAUUCGAUAACCCUCGAAAAACCUUACCAAAAUUUGAAUAUAAUGAUAUUAAGUUAUCUUAGUGCAUUUGAUUAUUAAUCAAGUAAUUAAAGUAUUGGCUAUUACAAGCGUUGCACGGCUGUCUUCAGUUAAUAUCGUGAGAAUUGGUUAAAUUCAUUAAUUAGCGUAUAACCCAUUUUUUAUUUAUUUAAAUAAUUAAGUUCCCCGC
Molecule: ribosomal RNA, 665 nt
Filed under: Coniosporium uncinatum
Lineage: Eukaryota; Fungi; Ascomycota; Dothideomycetes
Description: SSU rRNA
Rfam family: Bacterial small subunit ribosomal RNA
Source: RNAcentral